UACGAAGGGGGCUAGCGUUGCUCGGAAUCACUGGGCGUAAAGGGUGCGUAGGCGGGGCUUUAAGGCAGGGGGGAAAUCCUGGAGCUCAACUCCAGAACUGCCUUCGAUACUGGCGAUCUUGAGUCCGGAAGAGGUGAGUGGAACUCCUAGUGUAGAGGUGGAAUUCGUAGAUAUUAGGAAGAACACCAGUGGCGAAGGCGGCUCACUGGUCCGGUACUGACGCUGAGGUGCGAAAGCGUGGGGAGCAAACAGG
Molecule: ribosomal RNA, 253 nt
Filed under: uncultured bacterium
Lineage: Bacteria
Description: partial 16S ribosomal RNA
Rfam family: Bacterial small subunit ribosomal RNA
Source: RNAcentral